UUUAGUAUAAAAUUGCAUAUUUAUGUUUCAAAAUUGCAGGAUAUGUAGUGAUAAAAUUUCACUUUUGCAUGAUAUAUUCAAUCAUCUCAGUGUGAGAGAGAGAGAUGACUUUUUUUGAACAAAUUGCACUCGUUUGCAUAUAUUAGAAGGGGCUCAUGAAAGCUUGAAUGCAAUUCCUAAAAUGCUGAAUAAAAGUAUAACUGAUUCUUAGCGCUAGGGUGGAUGUGCAAAUUUGGAGCCCUACUUUGAAAGAAUACAAGGAAUGGGCAGAAUAGAUAUGGACAGAAGUUUCACAACCUAGUGGCUUGAGUUAUGGUUUGAAGGUGGUUUUCACACGUAUAUUGACCUUCUUUCUUUAGGUUCCCUUUGAUUUACAGGGAUUGCUAUUAGAGCUUCACUUGGCAUGCAAAUAAGUGGUAUUAAAGCCCAAUAAUUUGUUUGGAGUUAGGACAAGUGAUGGCAUGUUGUGGGAUAUGAUCAUGUAACAAGCUGUGGCACUAAUGUUAAUGACUGGUGAAUAAUGAUGCCCCAAAUGACUCUUUUGGAACUUGGAGAAUAGCCUAGCAGGGUGGUGGAGUUCAAUCGCAUCAGGCAUAUUGCAGGGGGAGUGUGUGCACAUGAGAGGCAACAUGUGUCACAACCUAGGUUGUCAAGCAUAUUUCACAACCUAUAAGAGAAAGUUGGCUUGUUAUGUGAGUUUCUAUAAUGGAUCAGUGAAUCUUGGUAAUUGGUUUGGCAAGUCUUCCUGGUUGUAAAGAUUGCUAUGAGAGCUUCAUUUGCCAUCCAUAGUUAUUUCAAUUCUUUACUUUAUAUUGAAGUACUUGUGUGUCUUAUAUGAAUUCUUGGAUAUGGGUAAUAACACAGACAUUUUCAAGACAUCUUUGAAUCUGUGGAAGAGUCUAUAUGAAAAAUUCAAAAAAUAGUUGAGAUGAACUGGGAUGCAUGUCAUAAGAAUAUGACUAAGUUUUAUAUUGGUUGCAUCUAGUACAGCUGCCCUCAUUUGAGCUUAGGACCAGCCUAAGUAAAAAUCUUUAAUGUAGCUUUAAAAUGAGCACAAUGAAGGGAAAAGGUACGUAUAAUUGAUCCUGACUAGAUUGGAAUUUAGACUGAGCAGAGUUGUAGCCAAG
Molecule: unclassified non-coding RNA, 1127 nt
Filed under: Hevea brasiliensis (rubber tree)
Lineage: Eukaryota; Viridiplantae; Streptophyta; Magnoliopsida; Malpighiales; Euphorbiaceae
Source: RNAcentral